CACGUAGGGGGCGAGCGUUGUCCGGAUUCAUUGGGCGUAAAGGGCGCGCAGGCGGCCCGGAAAGUCGGAUGUGAAAACUCGAGGCUCAACCUCGAGCGUGCACCCGAUACUGCCGGGCUUGAGGCAGGUAGGGGAGAUCGGAAUUCCUGGUGUAGCGGUGAAAUGCGCAGAUAUCAGGAGGAACACCGGUGGCGAAGGCGGAUCUCUGGGCCUGUCCUGACGCUGAGGCGCGAAAGCGUGGGGAGCAAACAGG
This 253-nucleotide ribosomal RNA is filed under the name uncultured bacterium. Its description in RNAcentral is "partial 16S ribosomal RNA". It matches the Rfam family "Bacterial small subunit ribosomal RNA", at positions 524 to 776 of the family's 1533-position model. The record is from RNAcentral.